GACGUAGGAGGCGAGCGUUGUCCGGAUUCAUUGGGCGUAAAGAGCGCGCGGGCGGCUUGGUAAGUCGGAUGUGAAAUCCCGAGGCUCAACCUCGGGUCUGCAUCCGAUACUGCCCGGCUAGAGGUAGGUAGGGGAGAUCGGAAUUCCUGGUGUAGCGGUGAAAUGCGCAGAUAUCAGGAGGAACACCGGUGGCGAAGGCGGAUCUCUGGGCCUUACCUGACGCUCAGGCGCGAAAGCUAGGGGAGCGAACUGG
Molecule: ribosomal RNA, 253 nt
Filed under: uncultured bacterium
Lineage: Bacteria
Description: partial 16S ribosomal RNA
Rfam family: Bacterial small subunit ribosomal RNA
Source: RNAcentral